Syzygium oleosum is the source of this 1348-nucleotide long non-coding RNA. RefSeq lists it as uncharacterized. Lineage: Eukaryota; Viridiplantae; Streptophyta; Magnoliopsida; Myrtales; Myrtaceae. The transcript has 5 exons. The record is from RefSeq and is a predicted model, not a curated record.
GCACAAUUUAGCCUUGCAGUAUUCGGUAAAUACAUAAAAAAGUGAGGAUUCCGAAUAUUUUGAAAGAAACUGGAGGAUGAUCUAAAAAUCAUGCUCCAAGAUGAUCGGCUAAUCGAUCCAGCUUUACUUUACGAGAUUGAUCACGAAUCAAUACGUUCGGAAGUCGAGAGUUUAUUUAUGCACGAAGGUGGUUGGACCAAAAGAGAUCUACAAGAAGACCUUGGUUCGAUCGAAACAGCUCUAGAGGAGGACCUGCAAGAUCAUCAAAGGAGAAACGAGAGAGAUGAACAAAUAGCACCCAAGAGAAAGCAUGGGCUUAUUCCCGCUCAAGGCAAGCGAAUCAAGACCACGUCGACUUCCGAUUCGACCGAUGGAGAAGAGAAUGAUCAAGAAACUUGCGACGGAAGCAAUUCGUAGAUUUUCUCUCUCCACCGAUGCCACUUUCAGCAUCACGACUCCUCCUCAUCUUCCUCCAUCCGACACCACCACCGAUCUCUGACGAAACGGAAAAUCACCACCUGCCGACGGAGGCGACGAGCGAAUCGACGGCUACGGAGACCGGCGAGUGGGAGGCGACGGACUACCACCACCGACCGAAGCCACGGAAACUGAAAAAGCAGCUUGGGGUGAACGAUUCUCUCUUGAGGUUUUGGGCUUCAUGCAAAUUGCUAUAGAUCAGCUCGAUUUUGAAUUCGAUUCGCAUGGCGCUACAAUUGCGCGGGAGCUUGAAGAAUGUGUCCGUGAAUUUGUUAGAGAGACGUUGGAUAAGGUGCUUCUUCGUAAGUUUAGUCUGGGGAUGCUUGGUGGUGAAUUCACUGGCAAUCGACAUUACACGCUGCAAAAUCAGCAACGAUCCCUAGAAGGUUGGGACUCCCUUACGCGAAUCCAGGCAUUGCAGCGGACAACCAGCCACAGUGGUGUUAAGGGGGGUUUGCUUUUGAGGUGUCUAGGGAAUGUGGAUAUGUAGUAUGUACAAUUCAUACAGAUGUGCAGCGGGUAAAAGGUUUUCCAGGACUAUUGAAUUGAGAUAAACUUCGAUCGCUGGGAUAGGGCUCUAUCUCCAUGUUUUAUGCGGCGCUUGAAGAGGCAAAACCAUUCAGUAAUGGAGGAGAUGCAGUGAGAUGGCAAGCCACCAGGAAAGGCAACAAGACAUGCAGAGAUGGAAGCUCUUGAUGUCCUUCAGGAACAGUGGCAGAGGACUGGAUCUUCAGCUACAGAAGUUGGAGAGAAGUUUUCAGCAUGCUCCCUUUACGUGACAUGUGAACCAUGCAUAUGUGUGCAGUAGCAUUAUCAAUCAUUGGUAUAAAGGAAGUAUAUUAUGGCUGUGCAAAUGAUAAAUUUGGAGACU